This 253-nucleotide ribosomal RNA is filed under the name uncultured bacterium. Its description in RNAcentral is "partial 16S ribosomal RNA". It matches the Rfam family "Bacterial small subunit ribosomal RNA", at positions 524 to 776 of the family's 1533-position model. The record is from RNAcentral.
UACAGAGGGGGCAAGCGUUGUUCGGAAUUACUGGGCGUAAAGGGCGCGUAGGCGGCCUUCUAAGUCGAACGUGAAAUCCCUGGGCUCAACCCAGGAACUGCGUCCGAUACUGGUUGGCUUGAAUCCGGGAGAGGGAUGUGGAAUUCCAGGUGUAGCGGUGAAAUGCGUAGAUAUCGGGAGGAACAUCAGUGGCGAAGGCGGCCUUCUGGUCCAGUACUGACACUCAAGUGCGAAAGCGUGGGGAGCAAACAGG